Molecule: long non-coding RNA, 5644 nt
Filed under: Brassica napus (rape)
Lineage: Eukaryota; Viridiplantae; Streptophyta; Magnoliopsida; Brassicales; Brassicaceae
Description: long non-coding RNA (BNAP_LNC006872)
Source: RNAcentral
UUUUUUUAAAAAACGACUACCUCCUAAAAACUGGUAAUUGAAAAGGGAAAGAAGUUUGCAUUUAAUAUCCAGCAAAAUGAUACAAUCUUGUAGCUCAAAAGGAAAACAAAGAAGAAACAAGAGUGUCUUAAGCUGCAACAAGAUCAGGUGUCUCAGCCUCAACGGACAACAAGGUAGUGUGAACCUUAUCAACCCAACUAUCAAGCUGAUCCCUCAAUGACUUGAUCUGCGGUAUCCCAAGCACCCUCGGUUGCGCCCAUGAAACAUGCACAGUUCCAUCCACCUGAUCUAUUAUCCCCUCUAUCAAGUGCACCUGCACAAAAUCACCAAAUGAUAUUUAUUCACAUCAACAUAAUCUCCCUAUCUUCUUGUGUCUUCCCAAUCUUAUUUAGAUUGAAUGGGACAGAGAUGAAUACUCACAGAUAAACUCUUCAUGAGAAGGUGCUCAACAUCUUCGAUUGAAAGCUUAGUACGCUCAGCAAUGACACUCAACGGUAUGGUCCUAUCUUCAGCUGGUCGGCUGUUACAGAUAUGGUUACAAAACAAUUUAAGCAUUCAUUUUUUUUCCCCUAUCUGCAAGACAUUGCUUAGAGAAGCAACAAAUACCUGAAAAUGAUCUCAAUAAGGCAGAGAAUGUUGAUCUUCUCCAACAGCUUCUUCUCAUUCUCAACCAGCGCUGGCUGUGCGCUCAAGGCUGCAUUGUGAUAAGUCCAAUUUAAAUUCAAAUAAAAAUAAAAAUCUAACUAAGAGAAUAUGUUAACUACUAUGUAAAAGUUUUUUUUUUUUUUUGUAAUUUGAGACCAUAAAAUUUCUACAAAAUUUGGGGGUUCUAGACAAAUGUUUUUUUUGAAAAGCCUCUAAACACGGUUCUCGCUCCUAUUAAUUGUCCCUCGAUUAAUAAAAGCUUGCGUUUGCGACAACUUACACGGAUAAAGUUCUUUGUCAAGAAAAUAUAUUUAAAUUCGCAUUAACAACAUAUUUGAAACUUCAUCUUGCCUUAGAAUCACUCAACCAGAUUGUCCAAGGAAAGGUUAAGGAAAUGAAUAGUUUAAUUUAUACAUAAAGGAACUUCCUGGAUAUAAAUAUUCACUUUUUGACGUUGUAUAGUAAGUUUUUAAUAACUUUUGAACUUACCAAGUGUUUCUUUUAGUUAUUUUGAAAGAUUAUAUUCAUUACGUAAUUUACUUAUUAGUUUGUAUAACACAUAGGCUUCUUACAAUGAUCGUAAACAUACACGUUUGUUUCUUUAAGCAUCAAUGUCAAUAUGCAAUAAAAACAAAAAUUAAGUUCCGAGAAAAUAAAACAGAAGACUUUUUAAGCCACCUUAAUUCUUCUCCGAAAGCAAUAUAUAGGCCGCUAAUUAACACCACCACGUAAUCGCCAAGGAGAACGACCGCAGUUCUGGAUAGAACCAACACGUGGCACCGGCACACAUGAGAUGGAAGCCUGGUGACGUUAACUUUGGCUGACGUUUAGAUAGUUUUUUCUACACGUGCUGGCCCAUGGGUGGGUCGUUGUUGUUUUGAGAUUAUGCGGUUUCAUAGUGUUGAGCGAGUAACCGCGUAGCCAUAAAACGCAUGGCGAUUGCGUUCAGUAACGUUACACCGACUCAGCUUCGCAAUCGUUGACAUUUUCAUUGUAGCUUGUAAAAGUUAACAACCAUGAAGAUUAGUAGUACUCUUCUUUUGUUGGUUCAACUAUUAGUAUUCUUUUAGAACCCGAAAUAAACGUAACUUAUAAUUACUAAAUGAACUAAUGCAUACACGAUAUCUUAAUAUUUUUCGAAAUACAUUAUACAAUGUAAAUAAAAGUGUAAAAUUUCACCCCAUAUUUAAGCUAUAAGUUUACCAAUUUUUUUUUUUAUUAAUACUCCAUUCAUUUCGGUAUAAGCAAUAUAUUUAUACUCAAAUUUACUUAAUAUUUAUUCAAAAAGUAUAUAUCAGUUAUUUCUAAACUAAGAAAAUAGGUACUUUUAACAAGGGAAAAUGAUGAGAAUAGUAACCGUGCAAAAUUAUGUACAGCGAUGAGGAGCUUCAAAUAAAUGAAUUAGGAUGUUGCUUUGCCUUUCAAAAAAGAAUUAUGGUGUUACUAAUUACGUACGAACACCGAUAUAUCUAACUGUAUUUUGGCGAAAUGAUGUGUAAGUGUAUAUAAAGACUUGUCUAAUUCACGAUGAUAAAUUAAUCACAUCCUUAAUGAUUGAUUAAUUAUUAAAAUAUCGAAUCCCUUGACUUCACUCAAACACCUUCACGAUGACCUCAUCUGAUGCAACACAAGAUAUUAAUAAUUACACGUAUAUACACACAUACACAUAUAUUAUACGUGUAAAACAUGAGAUUCUCUGCGAUAUCUCGGUCUAUAUAGGUUGCAACUUUUCUCAUAGUUGUGACUUCUCUUCCUACUUGACUCUUCAAUAAAAUCAUAUAUAUCCUAAGUAAUCCCUAACUUUCUUUCUAAAAAUAUUUCUCUCUUUCAAUGUCAGAAGAAGAACUUCAAGAAUCAGACGUUAUAUUUUCCGAUGAUUAUUUCAUAAACAGCAACAAGAAUAGCAACAAGGAAAACAACAAAGGAAAGAAACCAGCGACGGUGAAAAAGUCAUCUCCGGUAACAAUUCCAUCGAGAACUACAUUCCGGUGGCCGGAAGUUGAAGAGGAGGAGGAUGAGAGGGAAAUGACGCCGCCACAUGUCAUCAUCGGAAAACGAAGAGUGGAGUCGCAAAUGGCGUUUUCGUUUAGUACCCUUAAAGGAAGAGACCUGAGUCGUCACCGUAUCUCGGUUCUUAGGAUGACCGGUUUUUUGGAAGCUUAAUUGAUCUUAAAAUACAGCCGAACUGGUCCGGUUAAGGUUUAUAAAUGAACCAAUGUAUGACGAUAUUAAUUUUUUUUCUUAAUUAUUGCUAAAAGAAAAGUUCAAUAUAGGGAAUAAUUUCCCAUAUUUUACCAUUUAAGAUAUUAACAAUAAUAAUUAUUUAUGUUAAAUUAUUGUUUGGUUUCUUGAGAAAAUGAAAAACAUAUAAGAAUCAAAUCUUAUGUUAAAUUGAGUUAUGUACGGGGUUUAAUUUGCUUGUGAAGUAACGGGUUUCUUGGCUUGUAGAUUUUGUAUUUGGUCCACAUCUAUAGGAUUCUGCAAUUUGCUCGCUAACAUAAGCCUUAUAAGCUUUGUUUGCUAUUGUGAACUCAGCUGAGGGAUGAAUUGAUGGUAGUAUGAUGAUACCCUAUGGUUUAUUAAUAUUUGUUUAAAUCAAACAAUUUGAUACCAUAAUAAUUUGGUUGACCUUAGAUUGCGUAUAUGGUCCUAAUCAUUCAGCUGAAGUUUUGAACACGCGCUAAUUAGCCACUAGUAUGGGACUUGUAGUAUGGCCACUAUAUUCGUAUAUAUUUUAUUUUUUGCAUAAACGAAGGCAAUCGUUAAAAUUAACUUAUUAUUACUGUGUUUGGAUUUUGUCAAAGAUUGUAUAUUCAUCAUUUAGUACAGAAUAACUUAAAAAUCAUAAGCGUGGUGACUUUAUUAAUGGUAUAUCAUCCAUGAUUCUAAUUCUAUAGAGGUAAACACUAUAAACAUACACAUAUUCAGGUAUUAAAUCAACUACUAGUGCUAUAGAUCAGCCGACACCACCGCGGUGGACCGAUUCCGCCUCCAUAUUUUCCUUGUUCUAUGCACUUUAGUACGACUUCCACCAAAUUCAACCAGCCGGUAUCCGUAAACCGUUCCCUCUCAGCCGUCAUGAUCACAUCCUCAGGUGGAGGCACGUCGUAUCUUACGGUGUCGUACCAAUACGAAUACUACAUAUGACGUUCUCGGAACCCUCGCAUUUCGGCUCCUUGUUUAGGAUCAAUGAUUGAGUAAUCACUAGUCAUGAUAAUUUUGGUCUGAGUCCGAACUGUAGUUAUAACCGACAAUGUUUUUGUUGUUGUUAAUUUUUGCAAAAUGAUCAGGCACAUUUGGUAAAGGUAUAUAACUGCAUAAUCAUAUCAGCACUAUCGAGUUACCAUUCCUAUCCAUUAUUAUGUUCAUGCAACUCUCCAAAAAUUAAAAGUACAAAUCAUCAUCCUCACAGCAUCUCCAAAAAACUCUAUAUUUGAAUUUCCAAGGUGUUCUUCUCCAAAAGCAAAACUUCAAAUUUAACUUCAAAAUUAUUUAUAAUAUACACUAUGCUCCUUAUAUUUGUCAUAAUUAAUAUAAAUCCAUAAAACUUUUGUAGAUAACUAGCACAUAUAUAAAAUACUAUAGUAAUAUUAAUUAAUAAAAUCUUGCACUAAAAUAUAUAAAUAGAAAUACAUAAUAAAAUAUUAAACUACAAGAAAAAUAUCACAUUAUUACAUAAAAUUAUUUUAUUAAUGCUCUGUUUUCGGUUAUACAAAAUUUGUUUAGAUAAUAUUUUAGAAGUUCCGGAGAAAAUUUACUAGACUAUUAGUGUUGUUGUAAUAUUUAAAUUUGUGUAAUAAUUAUGUCGUCAUGUAUAUAUCUUCUUAAAUAUUUUUAUUAUGUUUCUUUUGUAAUAUUCUUGUUGUUUAAUUCUACUUUUAAAAUAUUAUAAAUCUUAUUUUGAUUUUUUAAAAAACUUUUAUGUGUAAAAUUUUAAUUUCUAAAAUAAAUUUGAAAUAUUUAAAAUGUACAAAAGUCUUAAAGAUAAAAAACUAUGAAUGAGAAAAUACUUAAGAAUCGUAAAUGUGAUGUAUAAUUAAUUAUAAGGACCAAUAUACAAAUAAAAAGAUGAAACUUCAAAUUUAGAGUUUUGAGUAGUGAAACUUUAAAUACUCUCAGAAACCUAAAAUUCGAGUUUCUGAACGUGAAUUUAAUUGUAUUUAAAUCAUAACUUAAAAACAAGAAAUUACCGGUAUAUUAAAUUAAUAUGCUAUUAAAAAAAAUCCUUUGUUUGCUAAUCUUGUUAUAAAACAUGAUUUGGUGCUAUAUUACUCUAUUUAUCCAUUCUACAUAACUCAAAAAGUUGUGAUUGAGAGAAUGAAUGUUAUCAAAGAAAGAGAAGUUGUGUAUCCAUAUUCUUUUGUUUCCCUUGGUUCAUAACAUUUCGUCCAAUAGAUAAUAUAAAUAAUUACCAAAACAUCAGACACAGAACUUGUCGCCUUAAUCAUCUGCUGAUGUUCCUUUUGAACAAUGCAAGCUUCGCCCUUCUCUAGCAGCUUCAAAACCCUCAUUAAAAUCGUCCAAUCAAUCCCUUAAAAGUUUUGAAACAUCAAAGAAAAAAUUUGCAUUCAGAUUGUAUAAAGGUACAAGUACAUCAAUCAUGAGAGGAGCUUAUAUAGUGAAGGGUGUAGUGAAGUCGAUCCAUUCAAGAAUCAUUGGAGAAAGGAGAGGAUACAUUAAUGUGUUUGUUGAGAGCAAACGUUUUUUUAAAAAACGACUACCUCCUAAAAACUGGUAAUUGAAAAGGGAAAGAAGUUUGCAUUUAAUAUCCAGCAAAAUGAUACAAUCUUGUAGCUCAAAAGGAAAACAAAGAAGAAACAAGAGUGUCUUAAGCUGCAACAAGAUCAGGUGUCUCAGCCUCAACGGACAACAAGGUAGUGUGAACCUUAUCAACCCAACUAUCAAGCUGAUCCCUCAAUGACUUGAUCUGCGGUAUCCCAAGCACCCUCGGUUGCGCCCAUGAAACAUGCACAGUUCCAUCCACCUGAUCUAUUAUCCC